ACACAUUUAUCAUACUAAUUUUUUUAACUAAACUAAUUAUUUACAAUAUAAAAUUAAAAUAAAAGUAUAUAAAAUGCAGAAAUCAUAAUAAUUUAAGUUCAAUGGACCUACAAAGAUAUCCCAAAUGUUUGGUAACAAGCAUCUAAUAAGUAUCAAAUUAAGUGUAAAUAUCAAAUACUAAAAAAAAUCAAGCCUAAAAAAUGUUUGAAUGAAAAUUUGAGACAUCAUUAAGCUUAUGGACCUCUUUCACAUUCUUCAUGCGAGUAAAUUGAUUCUUGUAUUAGCUCUUUCUUAGCAAUGAUAGAGGUUACCUGUUAAAAAAAAUAAAAUAAAGAACUUUCAGUAUGCAGCAAUUAGGAAACUAUUCAAAAUGCAAGUAAUAAAAUAUUGCCCACUACAUAUGUGAAAAGUGGAAACAUAAAAGUAAUUUGGUUAAAUGAUAAAGAGUUGUUAAUGAUAAAAGAAGAAAUACCUGGGACCUAAAACAUAUUAAUCAAAACAAAUGUUGUUAAUACACAGAUACACGAUUGCCAAAAGAACAAAUUAACAAUAGUCCAUGGAUGUAAGUACAUUUAUGUUCAUAUUGCUAAAAACAACAGACAAUUUUUCAUUGGAGAUAUGUUCUUGGAUUAGGUUAAACAUAACAUUAACAACAAUCUUUAAUUGAUGAAUAGUUUCUGAAUAUCUUGUGCCCACCCAUACUGUCAUUCCAAACACAAAACAUGAAACACAAACAUCAAUAUUUUACCACAUAAGUUCUAGAAAAUUGGUUUAUUUAUAACAAAAAAAUUAAUGGGACCUACAUGGUUAAAACUCAAGCACUCAAAACUCAAACGAAUUCAAUUUUUGUGGAUUGAUUUUAUCAGGCAUUAUAUCGAGCACAUGGUAUGCAUUUCACUAAACACCAAUUAUAAAACAUAAUUACCAUUUAACUAUUGCCAAUAUACAAACCACUAGAUAUCAUAUCAAUUAGAAGUAAAGCAAUUGUAAUUAAUUUAAUGAUAGAGCACAGGAGAAGGAACAAACAAUUAGAACAAAUGAGUGAAACAAUAAAUUACUUAUAGUACCUUUCUUUUCUUAAACAUGUAUAUAAAUUCACAACAAGUAUUGCAACAAGAUCAAUAAUGAAGAAAAAUCGAAGUGCAUCAGAGUUCAAAAUUAGUAAUUUCAAGAUGAGCAUUAGGGGAUAAAAAUAGGAGUACUACAUACCUGCUGAUGAUGAAGAUAACUCUUGAUCGAGAAAAUCACAAGAGAGAAAAAACGCAGCAAGAAGAGAAACACGCGGCAAGAAGAUCGAUGGUUUCUUUCCUGUAAAAGAUGAAAAAGCUAAAUGGAUAUUGUCAAUUGAACCUGUAGGCACAGACUAAAAUCAGUUGAAGGUUAAUAUUCGGCGAACUGAGAUCAACCGAAGGUUAUUAGAUGCCGAAAAACCCGACUAAAGGUGAUACACGUACCUGAAUUUCGACUAGUUAGGGUGAAAUUAGGUUUGCUUGAAAUCGAUUGAAGACGAGGGAAGCAGGAAAAUUAUUCAAUUAAAAUAUGAUUUUAACUAUAAGGAGGGGGAAUGAAUUUUCAACUGAGGGAAUAGAAAAGGCGCUGGAUUUCAAUUUUCAACGGGGAGGGAAGCUAGGUUUUUCACUGGAGGGAAAAGAAAAGAGGGAAUUGAAUAUUUUGAUGGAGGGAGUGAGGUUUUCGUCUUCACCAGGUGAAAAUUACGCAUCAUUCUACAUAAAAUGCCACUAAAACUAUUUAUUUCUUUUAUGGCAUAUGAAAAAUUACUGGCACAAAAUCCAAAUGUCACUAAAAGUGUGUGCCACUAAAUGGCUUUUUUUAUGGCAUAUGAAACUAUUUAUUUCUUUUAUGGCAUAUGAAAAAUGCCAUUAAAAACUAAAAUUACUGGCACAAAAUCCAAAUGUCACUAAAAGUGUGUGCCACUAAAUGGCUUUUUUUUGUAGUGUUCCGAUUGCUCCCAAAUUCUUAGUAUAAGCUAAUAUAAGAG
This 1999-nucleotide long non-coding RNA is filed under the name Lactuca sativa (garden lettuce). RNAcentral's name for it is "long non-coding RNA (LSAT_LNC006746)". Lineage: Eukaryota; Viridiplantae; Streptophyta; Magnoliopsida; Asterales; Asteraceae. The record is from RNAcentral.